AAACGUAGGGGGCGAGCGUUGUCCGGAAUUACUGGGCGUAAAGGGCGUGUAGGCGGCAAUGCAAGUCAGUAGUGAAACCCGUCGGCUCAACCGACGGCUGGCGAUUGAAACUGCAUAGCUUGAGUACAGGAGAGGGAAGUGGAAUUCCCAGUGUAGCGGUGAAAUGCGUAGAUAUUGGGAGGAACACCAGUGGCGAAAGCGGCUUCCUGGCCUGUAACUGACGCUGAGGCGCGAAAGCGUGGGUAGCAAACAGGAUUAGAUACCCUGGUAGUCCACGCCGUAAACGAUGGGUGCUAGGUGUUGGGGGUAUCGACCCCUCCAGUGCCGCAGUUAACGCAAUAAGCACCCCGCCUGGGGAGUACGGUCGCAAGGCUGAA
This 377-nucleotide ribosomal RNA is filed under the name uncultured bacterium. RNAcentral's name for it is "bacterial SSU rRNA". It matches the Rfam family "Bacterial small subunit ribosomal RNA", at positions 523 to 898 of the family's 1533-position model. The record is from RNAcentral.